RNAcentral lists this ribosomal RNA (526 nucleotides) under Copeoglossum aurae (greater windward skink). RNAcentral describes it as "partial 16S ribosomal RNA". It matches the Rfam family "Bacterial large subunit ribosomal RNA", at positions 1816 to 2597 of the family's 2925-position model. Lineage: Eukaryota; Metazoa; Chordata; Lepidosauria; Squamata; Scincidae. The record is from RNAcentral.
AGCCUUUAGCUUAAACAAGUAUUAAAGGUCUUGCCUGCCCAGUGAUUCUUUUCAACGGCCGCGGUAUUCUAACCGUGCAAAGGUAGCGUAAUCACUUGUCUUUUAAAUAAAGACCUGUAUGAACGGCUAAAUGAGGAUAAACCUGUCUCAUAUAACUAAUCAGUGAAACUGAUCUUCCAGUACAAAAGCUGGAAUAGUCACAUAAGACGAGAAGACCCUGUGGAGCUUAAAACAACCACUAAACAAACACUAGACUGUUUUAGUGCACGUUUUCAGUUGGGGCGACUUCGGAAUAAAAAACAACUUCCGAGCACAGAGCCACAACCUCUAACCAAGGCUAACAAGCCAAAGCACCAAAAUCGACCCGGCCUUGCCGAUCAACGAACCAAGUUACCCCAGGGAUAACAGCGCAAUCUUCUUCGAGAGCCCCUAUCAACAAGAAGGUUUACGACCUCGAUGUUGGAUCAGGACACCCAAAUGGUGCAGCCGCUAUUAAAGGUUCGUUUGUUCAACGAUUAACAGUCCU